CUCACAUAUUCCAAAAAAGAUAAGCGUAUUAUGGGUGCCUCCCCUCGAUGGAAAUAGGGGGGUUAACUCCUAUUGAUUUCUCCUCCUCAAUAGCCAAUGGAGUAUCCAAGUCAGCAAAAACGGUCCACAAACAGCAACCACAGGAAUACUUCAAGGCAAUUUAUUCACUUACAAAAAUUAAGAAGGUGUGCAAAUAAAAUAUAAAAACAAUAUAAAAAUGAGAUGUUGGUCCUACGCGUUUCGUCCUUAUACAAAAAGGACUUCCUCAGGGACCAUCUAUUUCAAUAAAAUAUCAAAUAUCAAUUGACAAAUGCACAGAGUAAACAGCAU
This is a non-coding RNA of Pelobates cultripes (western spadefoot toad), 330 nucleotides long. NCBI's taxonomy places the organism in Eukaryota, Metazoa, Chordata, Amphibia, Anura, Pelobatidae. The record is from the annotation of a GenBank genome assembly.